GACGAACGCUGGCGGCGUGCUUAACACAUGCAAGUCGAACGGAAAGGCCCUGCUUGCAGGGUACUCGAGUGGCGAACGGGUGAGUAACACGUGGGUGAUCUGCCCUGCACUUCGUGAUAAGCCUGGGAAACUGGGUCUAAUACCUGAUAGGAGCCAUUUUUAGUGUGAUGGUUGGAAAGUUUUUUCGGUGUAGGAUGAGCUCGCGGCCUAUCAGCUUGUUGGUGGGGUAAUGGCCUACCAAGGCGGCGACGGGUAGCCGGCCUGAGAGGGUGGACGGCCACAUUGGGACUGAGAUAAGGCCCAGACUCCUAAGGGAGGAAGCAGUGGGGAAUAUUGCACAAUGGGCGCAAGCCUGAUGCAGCGACGCCGCGUGGGGGAUGACGGCCUUCGGGUUGUAAAAUCCUUUCGCUAGGGACGAAGCUUUUUGUGACGGUACCUAGAUAAGAAGCACCGGCUAACUACGUG
RNAcentral lists this ribosomal RNA (465 nucleotides) under uncultured bacterium. RNAcentral's name for it is "partial 16S ribosomal RNA". It matches the Rfam family "Bacterial small subunit ribosomal RNA", at positions 28 to 507 of the family's 1533-position model. The record is from RNAcentral.